Echinops telfairi (small Madagascar hedgehog) is the source of this 164-nucleotide small nuclear RNA. Its record names the gene U1. It matches the Rfam family "U1 spliceosomal RNA". From Rfam's summary of the family: U1 is a small nuclear RNA (snRNA) component of the spliceosome (involved in pre-mRNA splicing). Its 5' end forms complementary base pairs with the 5' splice junction, thus defining the 5' donor site of an intron. The record is from Ensembl. NCBI's taxonomy places the organism in Eukaryota, Metazoa, Chordata, Mammalia, Afrosoricida, Tenrecidae.
AUACUUACCUGGCAGCGGAGAUACCAUGGUCACGAAGCUGGUUUUCCCGGGGUGGGGCUCACCCAUUGCACUGCGGGUGUGCUGACCCCUGCGAUUUCCCCAAAUGUGGGAAACUGUACUGCAUGAUUUGUGGUAGUGGGGGACUGCGUUCACGCUAGCCCCUG